UCCUACAUAAGAAGACCUUCUCUUCCAGAUCUGGCUGUGCCAGUGGAAGAACUCCCUGCCCCCUCACUCCUCACUCUUGUUUCGACUUGUCUGCCAGUGGAGCAGGUAAUCCAGAUGCUCCUUCAACGGAUUAAAGCAAGUAUGCCAAGAUUACUUCAGGAUGUUUCAUAUGACUGGAAAAAUUACUUUUAUGGUCAAUCAUUGGUCCAUCUUCACAAAUCAGCAUAAAUAGCUUACCUUCUCUGGCCAUGCGAAAAUUUUCAACAAGAACUUGCCCAAGAAGGCUUCAUUUGGAAACUCAUCUCAGACCAGAGCAGGCAGGAGCUGCCUGUUAAGCAAAGAGAUCAGAGAACCUUUUUUCCCUGCAUUUCUUCAUGGAAGUUUGAAGUGGCUUAAUUAUUUAACGUACUGACAAAGCCUUUUUUGCUGCUAUUACUCACCAGCGGUAUCACCCUUGUUUUGCUGACUGACGAUUUCCAUUAAACUCAGCGGGAUUGAGCAGUUCUGGAAACAAAUGCAGAGCACUCCAAAAUUGAGAUACCUCAAAUACGAGAGAAGCAUUGCCAAAGGAAAUGGAGAAGAAUUUGUUUAGAGAAAAAGCAGCUCUCUAACUACUCACAUAAUCAUGUGAAAGAAUAAAUGAAUAAAUGGGGUUAUCUGGUUAAAGGUGGCUGGAGGGAGGAUGAUGUGAGAAGCUGCAUGUACGGCGAUGUGUGCCUGGUGAGACGAAUUCUGCUGCCGCUGCUGCGAGGCAGGGAAGUAAGCAGCACAAGGCAAAGCAAACGAGUUGUAGUCUGGCUUCUCCUCCACUACAGAUGCCUUUUUGAAGAAAUACCACCAUGCUCUUUCAAUACUGUACCUGAUGAUAUUUAAAUUACUUUUACAUGAUUUUGUGCUUUUUUUUUUUUUUUUUCGCUUGGCAGACAAAAUGCUUUGACAAAACGCCAAGGCCCUAGGCCACACAGAUCCUUUUCACUGUGAAAGAUGUGCAAAAUAAAAGUGUAGUUAUCAUUCCUUUUUAAUUGAUCUGUACCUCUUCAUGGUCAUGUAUUUUGAGUGCAUCAUAGAAAGAUUUCAUAGUGUUCCACUUACUGCUGCAUCCUCUUCUUGGUGAAUAUGGAUAGCACCUGAUGCUCUCAUGCCUUUUCUCCUCUAUUGAAGUCUCUCUAAACUUUUCAGCAUGUGAGUAUGCAAAGCUAAUGAAGCUCUUCAGACCUAUCACAACUGUUAUGUGAGACUGUUACAACUUGGGGAACAGAGAUGUAAGUUAAAAAAUGACUUCCUUGGUAGCAAACUUACACCACUGGUUAUUCCGAGAGGCAGCUGAAAACUCCAGGUGUCUUGAUUCGUUAUCUGUACCUAAGAAAGAUUUGAGGGCAAGGUUCUGUGAAGUAAAAGAAAACUUUUGUCAUAGCCGUACUGCAUUGUUUAAAGCCUCUUAUUUUUCUCAUUUUAUUACAGCUUGACAAUUGUGAUUAGAAGCAAAUGUCUAAUUUGAGAAGGCCAAUUCAGAAAUACAAUUGCUAUCUGGCACUGUCUUCUGUUCUGUGUGAACCUACAUGACCACGAACAUCCCACUCCUUCAUCCUUGUGCAGCAUGGGAUCCAGAUGGAUGUUUCUGCCCAGUCUGUGAUUUUGUUUACAAAUGUUUCCACUCAGUAAAAAAAGAAAAAAAAAACAGGUUUGCAACAUACAGUAAAUUAAGUUAUUAAACGAAUAAAUGUAUUUCAGUAUUAUAUUUAAUGCAUGCCAAAAGACAGAGACCCUGAAUUUUCCUGUUAGAUUUUAAGUCCUUUUUAACCUUUCCUCUUUCUUGGUUUCAUUUGUCCUGGGAAUAGAGGCUUUGAUGCUGCUGUCUGAAAGACCCCCCCUUUUUUUCUCCAGCUGAAAUUAUUUCCAUGUUUCAUAUGGAAAAGGGCCCCCUUCUGCCUCACUGGUUUCAUGUGUGCAUUACAACAAAACAGUGCAGGAAGAUUACAGUUUUCAGACAAAAUGAGAACAUUUUUAAAGAACAGAGAUCCUUUCCAAACACUAAUAGGGUUCUUUGCCUGGGUCUGCGCUAACACAUUUUAACCAAAGGCAGUCCAGAACCUCACUAAAGCUCUCUGGAAGUCAGACAACACCGUAAUGCUUCAUACUUUUCUAAUGCUUUCCAUUGCAACUGCUUUACCAUCAUCAGCAAAUGCAUCUUCCAGAUCUUUCACAGAGUGUUGGUGGGUACUACUGGCUCCAACUGACAGAUGAAGCAACCAAAACGGUCUGCUCACCACCACCCCUGCCUCCAAACUCUCUUCGCGGCCCGUCUCUGUGCAGGCCAGUGUGCUGCUGGCUUCUCUGCAAGCAGACGUGGUGCCCACUGAGGGCACUGGAAACGCUCCAGCUGCCUGCGGCAAACGCUGGCUCAGCUCUCAGGAGACUUACCACGUGUACCUGGUGUAGGUUCCUGGAAUAAAACUUGUAACCCAACAUACCGGAUGCAGCAGACGUUUCCAGAUGUUUACUCCUUGGUAACAUGUAGUGUGCUUUUGACUAAACUUCAGACAGUAGCUCUCUAGUAGAUAUUCAGGAUGCUGCCUAAGGAAACGAGUGUAAUUUCUGCUGGAUACAGGUGAGAAUUUGGGCUUUCAUCAUUUCCAGAGUGCAUGUUUCAUCAUGCACUCCGGAAUAAUGAUUUUCUUUGUUGUCCAUGAAAAAAUUUCAAAAGCUAUUUCAGUAUUUCCUAUUCUUGAGACAAGCACAUCAAACAAAUCCUGCAUAAAAUGUAUAUUCUACGGUGAAGUGGUUCAGUUAACAAGUAAUAUCCACAAUUCAGAAAUACUAUGUUUUAAAACUGAAUGGUUUUAUCAGAUCUGCUGGAAAUAUUACGAGAUGUGCUAAAAUCUCUAGCAGCCCGUAUUUUGAGUGAAAUGACUUUGCAAACUUAAAAACGUAGCAGCAAAGCAAAACUAUCCUGAGCUGUGUUUCGUUACAACCAGAAUAAAACAUGUCUAUUUGAAAUCCCCAGAAUGAUUGAGAAAUAUGAUGGUUCCAUAUUUCCUAAUUUGCAAAUGGCACUAAAAAUAGUUGGAAAUACAUCAGGUAUUGCUCUGUAUGAACUGUUGUUACAAUUGCUGUAGGACUGUGAGCAGAUACCCACAAAACAGUCUCUUUACUGACUUACCUGACAUAACAUGAAUAAAAUUGAGAAUCAUUAUACUUCCUCUGUCAAUAUUACUGCCUGUACAGUAGCAAAAACCGUAGCAAAAUACACCUCGAUAGGAUGCAAAAUCCUAGCUUGAUAUAAAUUGACUUGAUUGGAGUCUUAGAUUGGUUAUCUUAGAUUGAAACCUAAGGAUUUGGCAUGUAAUACUAUGUAUUAUCAAGAGAGAGUGUUUUGUCUGAAAGGUUAAUUCUGACAGGUGCCGAAAACUUUCUAUUCCCAUUCAAGUUGCAGGAUGUUGGAUGAUGCACUUACUGUCUUGCAAGUGGCACAGUGUAGCAUCUUUUUUCUGCAAGGCAAAACAUAGGACAAGCAUGGAAGCAGAAAAUCAAAGGCUGGUUAAUGGGAAAGUGAUGAAGAAAUGGUUGUAUCUCACAGAGAAUGAGAGAAGUUUCACAGAAAAUGGCUGAAGAAAGGUCAAAUUUGUGGCUUCUUUUCUUUCUUGGACUGGACUCACCAGCUGCAGCUCUGCUGAGCCGUGCUGCGGGGCGAAGCAGCACCUUGUGUGCGCCUUUUCUAGCUAUGUUAAACCGAUGCCUGCAGAGCACCAGCAUUAUGCCUUUUGUGGCUCUUGCGCUACCGACAGCAAUGCAACCUGAGCUGUUUCAUUACCUCUGCUGAAUGCGGUCCUGGCCCUGCUGAAGUCGAUGGGGUUCUGCCUUUGACUUCCGUGAGAUCCGAAUUUCAGCCUUUGCCUCAGAUGAGUGCCAGGAAGUCCCCGGGGCCAGUGGCGAAGCCAAGGGACCUGGCCAGACGUGUCUGCAGGGCUGGCCUUGCUGGUAGUCCCGUCAGCUCUGCUUCUGCAAUGAGACAAGUAAGCCUGCGUCCUGUGGACAUCCAUGGUAGUUACAUGUACGUGUCUUCAAAAGUAGCAUUUGUUCAUAAACUGACUAUGAUAGAAGAUCAUACUCUUCUUAUGUAGGAUUAAUUAUUUGGGAUUAUCAAGGAUUAAUAUUCAGCAGCCGAAAGUCUAACUGUGGGGAAACAGAUCAAAGUACUCCAUCUCUUAGUCCUGUAUUGACCU
Molecule: long non-coding RNA, 4223 nt
Organism: Dromaius novaehollandiae (emu)
Lineage: Eukaryota; Metazoa; Chordata; Aves; Casuariiformes; Dromaiidae
Exons: 9
Source: RefSeq, a predicted model, not a curated record